RNAcentral lists this ribosomal RNA (458 nucleotides) under uncultured bacterium. RNAcentral describes it as "partial 16S ribosomal RNA". It matches the Rfam family "Bacterial small subunit ribosomal RNA", at positions 28 to 507 of the family's 1533-position model. The record is from RNAcentral.
GACGAACGCUGGCGGCGUGCUUCAUACAUGCAAGUCGAACGAGAAGCUGACUUCGGUCAGUGGAAAGUGGCGGACGGGGGAGUAAUAUGUAGGAAAUCUGCCUUUAGGAGGGGGACAACAGAGGGAAACUUCUGCUAAUACCCCAUAUGAGCGUAGCUGAACUGCUAUUUUUGAAAACUCCGGUGCCUAAAGAUGAGCCUGCAUCUGAUUAGCUAGUUGGUAGUGUAAUGGUCUACCAAGGGGACGAUCAGUAGCUGGGUUGAGAGGAUGAGCCGCCACCACGGGAAUGGGACCCCGCCCAUAAUCCUAAGGGAGGGAGGAGGAGGGGAAUUUGCGAAAUGGGCGGAAGCCUGACGCCGCAACGCCGCGUGAACUAUUAAGCCCUUCAGGGUGUAAAGUCCUGUCAGUGGGGGCGAAAAUUGACGGUACCCACAGAGGAAGCACCGGCUAACUCCGUG